Populus trichocarpa (black cottonwood) is the source of this 1581-nucleotide long non-coding RNA. RefSeq lists it as uncharacterized. Lineage: Eukaryota; Viridiplantae; Streptophyta; Magnoliopsida; Malpighiales; Salicaceae. The transcript is spliced from 3 exons. The record is from RefSeq and is a predicted model, not a curated record.
UCAUCUGCAGGUUCACUGCCAUCCUCCUUCUUUAAUUUUUCACCCACGGUUAGAGGAAUUGCAACUGGAUUGCAGUCCUCAAGUCCGAACUUAGUAAGUAGAGACUUAGCAUACUUACUUUGGUGAAUAAAAACUCCUUGAUUGGUCUGCAAUACACCAAUCCCUAGAAAGUGAUGAAGAAGCCCUAGGUCUGACAUUUCAUACCUCUGCAUCAUCUCCCUCUUAAACUCAGUCAUCAUCCUUUCACUACUUCCAGUAUACACUAUAUCAUCAACAUAUAUUGAGAUAAUGAUCUGGCCUCCUUCACUAUCACUUCUGGUGUACAAAGUUGCUUCACUUGCACUCCUUUCAAAUUUGCAACUUGUAAGAUAAGCAUCGAUUUCACUAUACCAGGCUCUAGGGGCUUGUUUAAGUCCAUAUAGAGCCUUGUAUAGUUUAUACACCUUGUGGCUGGACCCCUUCACUUCAAACCCCUCGGGUUGCUCCACAUACACCUCCUCGUCAAGCAUUCCAUUUAGAAAUGCUGACUUAACAUCUAGUUGGAAUAAUUUCCAACCCUUUUGAGCUGCCAACGCAAUGAGAGUCCUUAUAGUAUCCAACCUUGCUACUGGAGCAAAAGUCUCAUUGUAAUCCACCCCUGGUUUUUGAGCAUAUCCCUUGGCUACAAGUCUAGCCUUAUGCUUGUGUAUGGACCCAUCAAGAUUGAGCUUUGUCUUGAAGACCCAUUUCACACCUAUCACAGGCGCAUCAGAAGGUCUGUCAAUCAGCUCCCAGGUGAGCUUAACUGAUCAAUGCCAUCAUAAUUCUGUGCAACAUCUACAUUUGUUUCUUCUACUUCACUCUCUUCUUUGUUGCAUUCAAACCUUAGUUGCUGUGUGACUGAUUCCAUGUGAUUUUCAGUCCAAUUCCAGAACCUGCUCUCAUCAAAAACAACACUUCUUGACAGCACUAUCUUCUUUGAAUCCAGAAUAUACACCCGAUAUCCUUUCUCACAACUUCCAUAACCCAUAAACACUCCCUUCUCUGCCUUACUGUCCAGUUUCUGUCUUAGUGCUGCUGGAAUGAGUGUGUAACAUACACACCCAAACACCCUUAAGUGUUUAAUUCCAGGCUUCCUUCCCGUGAAGGCUUCAAAUGGUGUCUUACCCUCCACAGCUGAUGUAACACACCUAUUUUGAAGAUACACAGCAGUAUUCACUGCCUCUCCCCAGAAUUCAGUGGGUAUUCCUUUCUCAAUCAACAUUGAUCUUGCCAUUUCUCCUAUGGUCCUAUUUCUCCUCUCAGCCACUCCAUUCUGCUGAGGAGAAUAGGCUACUGUGAGCUGCCUCUCCACACCCAGACUUGCACAAUAAUUCUGAAAUUCAUAGGAGAUUUAUUUCGGAGGAAAUAUACCCAACACAUUCUAGAGUAGUCAUCAAUAAAGGUAAGAAAGUACCUAUUCCCACCAAUUGAUUCUGCCUGCAUUGGUCCACAGAGGUCAGUAUGCACAAGUUCCAGUGGAUGUUUGGCUCUCCAUGCUUCCCCUUGAUUAAAUUUCUCUCGGUGAUGCUUCCCUUUUACACAGCCUUCACACACAUUCCU